AACGUAGGUACCGAGCGUUAUCCGGAUUUACUGGGCGUCAAGCGCGUUCAGGCGGUACGGCAAGUCGGGCAUGAAAUCUCUCGGCUCAACCGGGAGCGGUUGUCCGAUACUGCCGAACUCGAGGGCAGUAGAGGGUGGUGGAAUUCCGGGUGGAGUGGUGAAAUGCGUAGAGAUCCGGAGGAACACCAGUGGCGAAAGCGGCCACCGGGACUGCACCUGACGCUCAAACGCGAAAGCUAGGGGAGCGAACGGG
This 253-nucleotide ribosomal RNA is filed under the name uncultured bacterium. RNAcentral describes it as "partial 16S ribosomal RNA". It matches the Rfam family "Bacterial small subunit ribosomal RNA", at positions 524 to 776 of the family's 1533-position model. The record is from RNAcentral.